GACGAACGCUGGCGGCGUGCUUAACACAUGCAAGUCGAACGGAAAGGCCCUGCUUUUGUGGGGUGCUCGAGUGGCGAACGGGUGGGUAACACGUGAGUAACCUGCCCUUGACUUUGGGAUAACUUCAGGAAACUGGGGCUAAUACCGGAUAGGAGCUCCUGCUGCAUGGUGGGGGUUGGAAAGUUUCGGCGGUUGGGGAUGGACUCGCGGCUUAUCAGCUUGUUGGUGGGGUAGUGGCUUACCAAGGCUUUGACGGGUAGCCGGCCUGAGAGGGUGACCGGCCACAUUGGGACUGAGAUACGGCCCAGACGCCUACGGGAGGCAGCAGUGGGGAAUAUUGCACAAUGGGCGGAAGCCUGAUGCAGCAACGCCGCGUGCGGGAUGACGGCCUUCGGGUUGUAAACCGCUUUCGCCUGUGACGAAGCGUGAGUGACGGUAAUGGGUAAAGAAGCACCGGCUAACUACGUG
This 468-nucleotide ribosomal RNA is filed under the name uncultured bacterium. RNAcentral describes it as "partial 16S ribosomal RNA". It matches the Rfam family "Bacterial small subunit ribosomal RNA", at positions 28 to 507 of the family's 1533-position model. The record is from RNAcentral.